This 360-nucleotide long non-coding RNA is filed under the name Glycine max (soybean). Its description in RNAcentral is "long non-coding RNA (GMAX_LNC002158)". Lineage: Eukaryota; Viridiplantae; Streptophyta; Magnoliopsida; Fabales; Fabaceae. The record is from RNAcentral.
UAUCUUCUACGUUAAAUCAUGCCUGAAUUAUAUUCUCACCAAAACACUGACGUUGAGACCCUACUGCCGAUCCUCAAUCUUCCUUGCUUGCUAGCUAUUAAAUUUAAUUUACCCCACUUAGGUCCUUUUACCCUUCCACGUACUUGCUUUACCUUCAACUUAACAAAAAAAAUUUCCGAUCAUUCAUCAUUUGGCAUGUGCAUAGUUCAAAACAAAGAUGAAGAGAAAACAUAAUUUCCAAAAGACAAUUUCCAUCGUUAGAUAAGAAGAAAAAAGAGGAGAGAGGAAUAGUAAAUUUUCCAUAGGAUCCACGAUAAAGGUUUUUUAAUUCUCAUUAAAAAAUGUCACUGAAGAAACUCC